UACGUAGGGUGCAAGCGUUGUCCGGAAUUAUUGGGCCUAAAGCAUCCGUAGCCGGUUUUACAAGUCCUCCGUUAAAUCCAGCUGCUUAACAGAUGGGCUGCGGAGGAUACUAUAAGACUAGGAGGCAGGAGAGGCAAGCGGUACUCAGUGGGUAGGGGUAAAAUCCGUUGAUCCAUUGAAGACCACCAGUGGCGAAGGCGGCUUGCCAGAAUGCGCUCGACGGUGAGGGAUGAAAGCUGGGGGAGCAAACCGG
This 253-nucleotide ribosomal RNA is filed under the name uncultured bacterium. Its description in RNAcentral is "partial 16S ribosomal RNA". It matches the Rfam family "Bacterial small subunit ribosomal RNA", at positions 524 to 776 of the family's 1533-position model. The record is from RNAcentral.